GCCGGGUGUGGUGGCUCACGCCUGUAAUCCCAGCACUUUCGGAGGCCAAGGCGGGUGGAUCACCUGAGGCCAGGAGUUUGAGACCAGCCUGGCCAACAUGGUGAAACCCUGCCUUUA
Nomascus leucogenys (northern white-cheeked gibbon) is the source of this 117-nucleotide non-coding RNA. It matches the Rfam family "Metazoan signal recognition particle RNA". From Rfam's summary of the family: The signal recognition particle (SRP) is a universally conserved ribonucleoprotein. It is involved in the co-translational targeting of proteins to membranes. The record is from Rfam. Lineage: Eukaryota; Metazoa; Chordata; Mammalia; Primates; Hylobatidae.